UACGGAGGGUGCAAGCGUUAUCCGGAUUCACUGGGUUUAAAGGGUGCGUAGGCGGGUAAGUAAGUCAGUGGUGAAAUCUUCAAGCUUAACUUGGAAACUGCCAUUGAUACUAUUUAUCUUGAAUGUUCUGGAGGUCAGCGGAAUAUGUCAUGUAGCGGUGAAAUGCUUAGAUAUGACAUAGAACACCAAUUGCGAAGGCAGCUUACUAAGCAAAUAUUGACGCUGAGGCACGAAAGCGUGGGGAUCAAACAGG
This 253-nucleotide ribosomal RNA is filed under the name uncultured bacterium. RNAcentral's name for it is "partial 16S ribosomal RNA". It matches the Rfam family "Bacterial small subunit ribosomal RNA", at positions 524 to 776 of the family's 1533-position model. The record is from RNAcentral.